Molecule: transfer RNA, 55 nt
Filed under: Caenorhabditis sp.
Lineage: Eukaryota; Metazoa; Nematoda; Chromadorea; Rhabditida; Rhabditidae
Description: tRNA-Arg
Source: RNAcentral
AGAUGAUAAAUAGAUAUAACUAUAUUUGGUUGCGGAUCAAAGUGAUAAACAUCUU